Molecule: long non-coding RNA, 418 nt
Organism: Nannospalax galili (Upper Galilee mountains blind mole rat)
Lineage: Eukaryota; Metazoa; Chordata; Mammalia; Rodentia; Spalacidae
Exons: 2
Source: RefSeq, a predicted model, not a curated record
GUGGCAUUUGGAGGUCCCACCGAGAUCUGAGAAAGAGAGGGGAGCGUAAACCCAUUUGGGUUCCUGAAAGAUAUGUUCGUCCAGUGGAGGCCAACCUUGAUGAGGCCAAUGCUGAUUCUACAGGUGCCAGCAGCAAUCAUCUUGAUGAAUCCUGCCCUGAGUGAACAAACGGUAUGGAGCCAGCCCCUCGCUGUUGGCCUUCAACCACUAACUUUGAUCUUCCAGACGCUUUGAUGUGGGGAGAUUGUGUCACUACAACAGCGCUUCUGCAGGAGCAGGUUGACGCCUUAUGGAUGAUGCAACAAGUGUCCUGUUCUCAUUUUUAUCAUUCUGUUUGUGUAACACCUGGUCAUGUUGUUAAUGCCUCAGAAAUUGUAAAAUAGUUAAAUGCCUAUAUGAGAGGUCCCUGGAAUGUAAA